RNAcentral lists this non-coding RNA (27 nucleotides) under Homo sapiens (human). The record is from RNAcentral. Lineage: Eukaryota; Metazoa; Chordata; Mammalia; Primates; Hominidae.
UAGGCUAUGACCUAAUGCUUGCUUGGA